RNAcentral lists this long non-coding RNA (219 nucleotides) under Manihot esculenta (cassava). Its description in RNAcentral is "long non-coding RNA (MESC_LNC004022)". The record is from RNAcentral. Lineage: Eukaryota; Viridiplantae; Streptophyta; Magnoliopsida; Malpighiales; Euphorbiaceae.
UUUUCUUUUUUUCUCUGGAUGCUAAGUUCUUCUCUCCUACUCUUCUCUCUUCCUUUUCCUCAUUACCGCAGAUACUCAUCGUGGGGCCUGUAGAAUCUUUCUUUUCACUCAUGGCCUUUUUUCUCUUGAUUUUUGUAUUCCCACUACUUGAAUCCCUAAAUUUUUUCUGCAACUUUAUUUGAUCUUCAUAAACUUCAAUAGGAGAUAAUGGAGCUAAGG